This 497-nucleotide ribosomal RNA is filed under the name uncultured bacterium. RNAcentral's name for it is "partial 16S ribosomal RNA". It matches the Rfam family "Bacterial small subunit ribosomal RNA", at positions 28 to 507 of the family's 1533-position model. The record is from RNAcentral.
GAUGAACGCUGGCGGCGUGCCUAAUACAUGCAAGUCGAGCGAACAGAUGAGGAGCUUGCUCCUCUGACGUUAGCGGCGGACGGGUGAGUAACACGUGGAUAACCUACCUAUAAGACUGGGAUAACUUCGGGAAACCGGAGCUAAUACCGGAUAAUAUAUUGAACCGCAUGGUUCAAUAGUGAAAGACGGUUUUGCUGUCACUUAUAGAUGGAUCCGCGCCGCAUUAGCUAGUUGGUAAGGUAACGGCUUACCAAGGCAACGAUGCGUAGCCGACCUGAGAGGGUGAUCGGCCACACUGGAACUGAGACACGGUCCAGACUCCCACGGGAGGCAGCAGUAGGGAAUCUUCCGCAAUGGGCGAAAGCCUGACGGAGCAACGCCGCGUGAGUGAUGAAGGUCUUCGGAUCGUAAAACUCUGCUAUUACGGAAGAACAAAUGUGUAAGUAACUAUGCACGUCUUGACGGUACCUAAUCAGAAAGCCACGGCUAACUACGAG